This 466-nucleotide ribosomal RNA is filed under the name uncultured bacterium. RNAcentral describes it as "bacterial SSU rRNA". It matches the Rfam family "Bacterial small subunit ribosomal RNA", at positions 330 to 793 of the family's 1533-position model. The record is from RNAcentral.
UCCAGACUCCUACGGGAGGCAGCAGUGAGGAAUAUUGGUCAAUGGCCGGAAGGCUGAACCAGCCAAGUCGCGUGAGGGAAUAAGGCCCUAUGGGUCGUAAACCUCUUUUGUCAGGGAGCAAAGGCGUCCACGUGUGGACGAGAGGAGAGUACCUGAAGAAAAAGCAUCGGCUAACUCCGUGCCAGCAGCCGCGGUAAUACGGAGGAUGCGAGCGUUAUCCGGAUUUAUUGGGUUUAAAGGGUGCGUAGGCGGAGUGUCAAGUCAGCGGUAAAAUUUCGGGACUCAACCCCGUCGUGCCGUUGAAACUGACGCCCUUGAGUGAGUGAGAAGUAAGCGGAAUGCGUGGUGUAGCGGUGAAAUGCAUAGAUAUCGAGAGGAACACUCGUGGCGAAGGCGGGUUCCUGGACAUUAACUGACGCUGAGGCACGAAGGCCAGGGGAGCGAAAGGGAUUAGAUACCCGAGUAC